ACAUUUUACCAAUCCCAACAUCUCCCAUAAGACCAUCCACAGCAUCAUUCACUUCUUCAAUCAUGAACUCAAUACCAAAAUCUCUCUCUCUCUCACAUGACUUAGCGUGUGCAACUUCCAACCUCCAUUGCUCUACCUCUCUCUCUUUAUACAACCACCGUGAUCUAGCUAUCUGAAGCUGCAACUUUAAUCAUCUCCACACGCACAAAAACAUUACAACAUGAGGCCCAUAUGCUAGCUUUUCUUACCCCCUACGCCAAUCAUCAUCUCCGCCAUUAAUAAGACGACAAAUGCCUCAGUGAUCAUAACUUGAUUUAACGCAAAGACAACAAUCCAACAUCUAGCAACAUUGGCCUUAAACCAUGAACAUGAAUAAAACCUUCUUCUUUUGGCUUUCUGUCUUUCUCAUUGCACUUCUUUCCAUCAUAGUGUCUCUCCCUACCAUUCCUUCUUCUACAACGGCUGCCAUUGCCCAUUCCUCUGAAACUAGCUUUCAACUUGGUUUUCUCGAAAUGUUUUUCAAGCGAAGUGGCAUUUAUAUCUUUCCCUCCUUUAUAGACCGCAUUGCCAGAAGACAUCACCACCACCACCACCGGAGGAGAAGGAGGCGCAACAUUGCAUGCGAUGACUCCAAAUGGAAGUCUAGGCUCAUAUCCGAUUACAACGUGUCACUUGUCUUGACAGUUGAUACACGGGGUUGCGCAAAUUUCAGCAGUGUUCAGAAGGCAGUUGAAGCAGCUCCUGAAUUUAGCCCUUCCCGGAGCCUCAUCAUAAUCGAUUCAGGCACAUACAGGGAGAAAGUAACAGUGCCUGCAAACAAGACAAACUUGAUAUUCCAAGGGCAGGGUUAUCUGAACACGGCCAUAGCUUGGAAUGACACUGCAAAUUCCACAGGAGGAACUGUCUACACCUCCACGGUUGCCAUCUUUGCUCCCAACUUCGUAGCUUACAACGUUAGCUUCCAGAACACUGCUCCUCCGCCUUACCCCGGCGCUGUGGGGGCACAGGCUGUGGCACUGAGAAUUGCAAAUGACCAGGCUGCAUUCUAUGGCUGCGGAUUCUACGGAGCCCAAGACACCCUCAAUGAUGAUCGAGGCCGGCAUUACUUCAAGGACUGUUUCAUCCAAGGGUCUAUUGAUUUCAUCUUUGGAAAUGCUAGAUCACUCUAUGAGGAUUGCACUAUAAAUUCCAUAGCAACGGAAGUGGAGGUUGGGGCAAGUGGAGCCAUCACAGCUCAUGGAAGGCAAUCAGCAAACGAGAACACAGGCUUCUCCUUCGUGAACUGUAACAUUGGUGGAAGCGGCAGAGUUUGGCUUGGAAGAGCUUGGGGUGCUUAUGCUACUGUUUUGUUCUCCAAAACCUACAUGUCUGAGGUUGUUGCAUCCGAUGGACGGAGUGACUGGAGAGACCCCUCUAGAGACCAGUCUGUACUUGAUCCUUGCAUUGCGAUAACACCUUUUCUCUAACAUAUCAAUAUAUAUAUUUCUCAUCUUGCAUGCGAUAAUAGAUAAGGCGAGUGUUGAUAGUAAUUGUUCCUUUCCAAAUAGGAAGGCCAUAAGUUUGAGUAGUGGAAAUUGACUCCCACCCCCACGGCUUUUACAAAGUGGGGAGCCUGGACUGUGUUUUUCGGGGAGUAUGAGUGCUGGGGACCAGGAGCAAACUACACAUUCAGAGUCUCAUACGGGAAGCAACUGAG
This is an RNA transcript of Diospyros lotus (date-plum), 1696 nucleotides long. It is a transcript of the gene named probable pectinesterase 15, with no coding region annotated. NCBI's taxonomy places the organism in Eukaryota, Viridiplantae, Streptophyta, Magnoliopsida, Ericales, Ebenaceae. The transcript is spliced from 5 exons. The record is from RefSeq and is a predicted model, not a curated record.